GACGAACGCUGGCGGCGUGCUUAACACAUGCAAGUCGCACGAAGUGGCGAACGGGUGAGUAACGCGUAAUCAACUUGCACUUCAGAGGGGGAUAACAGUUGGAAACGACUGCUAAUACCGCAAACUGAAGGAGGGGAUUGCGUCUGAUUGGCUAGCUGGAGGGUAAACGGCCCACCAAGGCGAUGAUCAGUAGCCGGUCUGGGAGGAUGAACGGCCAAAGUGGGAAUGAGAAACGGGCCAGACUCCUACGGGAGGCAGCAGUGGGGAAUCUUCCGAAAUGGACGAAAGUCUGACGGAGCAAAGCCGCGUGAGUGAUGACGGCCUUCGGGUUGUAAAGCUCUGUUAAUCGGGACGCGGUACCGGAAUAGAAAGCCACGGCUAACUACGUGCCAGCAGCCGCGGUAAUUC
RNAcentral lists this ribosomal RNA (408 nucleotides) under uncultured bacterium. RNAcentral describes it as "partial 16S ribosomal RNA". It matches the Rfam family "Bacterial small subunit ribosomal RNA", at positions 28 to 526 of the family's 1533-position model. The record is from RNAcentral.